UAGUGCACUAUGAAGGGAAUAGAGUGCCAUUUGGGAUGCAUACCUACUGUAUGUACUGUAUGUGAGUAGGGAGUAACUGGAACAUGUUGGCCGAAUACUGACUGACUGGCUGGCAGACUAGUUUACUGACUGACCGCAGACUGGUUUACUGACUGACUGGCUGCUUUACUGACUGACUGCAGACUGGUUUACUGACUGACUGGCUGCUUUACUGACUGACUGCAGACUAGUUUACUGACUGACCGGCUGGCAGACUAGUUUACUGACUGACCGGCUGGCAGACUAGUUUACUGACUGACUGGCUGGUUUACUGACUGACUGGCUUACUGACUGACUGGCUGGUUUACUGACUGACCGGCUGGCAGACUAGUUUACUGACUGACUGGCUGGCAGACUAGUUUACUGACUGACUGGCUGGCAGAUUAGUUGACUGACUGACCGGCUAGCAGACUGGUUUACUGACUGACUGGCUGGCAGACUAGUUUACUGACUGACUGGUAAACUGGUUUACUGACUGACCGCAGACUAGUUUACUGACUGACCGGCUGGCAGACUAGUUUACUGACUGACCGGCUGGCAGAUUAGUUUAUUGACUGACUGGCUGGUAGACUAGUUUACUGACUGACCGGCUGGCAGACUAGUUUACUGACUGACUGGCUGGUUUACUGACUGACUGGCUUACUGACUGACUGACUGGCUGGUAGACUCAUUUACUGACUGACUGGUUUACUGACUGACUGGCUGGCAGACUGGUUUACUGACUGACUGGCUGGUAGACUGGUUUACUGACUGACUGGCCGGUUUACUGACUGACUGGCUGGUUUACUGACUGACUGGUUUACUGACUGACUGACUGGCUGGUUUGCUGACUGACUGGCUGGUUUACUGACUGACUGGUUUACUGUUUUUUUUACUGACUGACUAACUGAUUGGCUGACUGGUUUACUGACUGGCUGGUUUACUGACUGACUGGCUGGUUUACUGACUGACUGGCUGGCUAACUGACUGGCUGGCUAACUGGUUUACUGACUGACUGGCUGACUGGUUUACUGACUGACUGGCUGGCUAACUGGUUUACUGACUGACUGGCUGGUUUACUGACUGACUGGUUUACUGACUGACUGACUGGCUGGUUUGCUGACUGACUGGCUGGUUUACUGACUGACUGGUUUACUGUUUUUUUUACUGACUGACUAACUGAUUGGCUGACUGGUUUACUGACUGGCUGGUUUACUGACUGACUGGCUGGCUAACUGGUUUACUGACUGGCUGGUUUACUGACUGACUGGCUGGCUAACUGGUUUACUGACUGACUGGCUGACUGGUUUACUGACUGACUGGCUGGCUGGCUAACUGGUUUACUGACUGGCUGGCUGGUUUACUGACUGACUGGCUGGCAGGCUAACUGGUUUACUGACUGACUAGGUGACAGACUGACUGGCUGGCUGCCUGGUUUACUGAUUGACUGGCUAACUGACAGGCUGGCUGGCUAACUGGUUGACUGACUGGCUGACCUAGUGACGUCAUGGGUGUUCUCUUCAGUAAAACUCCCUCUGUUCCUCCAUGUUAGAAAUACAAAACUCUCCUUCUGUCCAGAGCUUCUAGAGCCAGACGGACGGACACUAGCUAGAAGAUCACAGAACCUUGACGUGUGAUCCCUUGUGUUAGCCAUGUUGUUAAAUGAGCACAGCACACUGUUAGGAAACAAGACUCAAGACUUAAUGAACGGUGAUCCUUAAAUGUGAGUUAUUCCGGCAUUAGGAUUGUAAAUGUCUUGUAGUGUAUCCAUGGCUUGAGUGCAAUAUGAGCUGUAGUUGAACACAGACACGUUGGUUCUGAGUUCUUCUCUGGUGAACUGCAGCAUCUGAAGGUCAAAGUGGCGAGGGCGAGGUGCUCUGAAACACUCCGGAUAUAAACAUUUAUUCUGGUCCUGCAGAACACUGGACUAGAAUCAGUCAUGUAUAUUCUAGUAAUCAACAGAGUUCUAGAACAUUCCUGUUGACCCUGUCAGUUCUAGAACAUUCCGGUUGACCCUGUCAGUUCUAGAACAUUCCUGUUGACCCUGUCAGUUCUAGAACAUUCCGGUUGACCCUGUCAGUUCUAGAACAUUCCUGUUGACCCUGUCAGUUCUAGAACAUUCCUGUUGACCCUGUCAGUUCUAGAACAUGAACACGACGACAGUCAGAUAGAUACACUGACAGUAUCCCGGUCUGGUCACACUGUCACACUACACUACCCAGAGUUCCACAGCAGGUUUAGUCACAUGGUAGUCAUGUUAUUGCCUUGCUAUUGGCUGGUGUUAUACACUGUUACUAUGGUUACUAUAAGAGAGACAGAGCUAGUGAUGUUAACAGAACUACAGUAGGCCUGUGAAAUGGUUGGUGUGUGUGUCCGGGGGGACUGAGGUGACCAUUGUGACACUGAGUUCAAACACAGGCCACACAACAUACAUUGUUCUGUUCUGACGAAAGAGAGAGAGAGAGAGAGAGAGAGAGAGAGAGGGUUUGGCUUCUCUCCUCUCUUUGUGUUGUAGUGUCUCUCUAGACCAGGUUGUAGUGUCUCUGUGUUGUCUCUCUAGUCCAGGUUGUAGUGUCUCUGUAGUGUCUCUAGACCAGGUUGUAGUGUCUCUGUGGUGUCUCUCUAGACUAGGUUGUAGCGCCUCUCUAGACCAGAUUAUAGUGUCUCUAGACCAGGUUGUAGUGUCUCUAGACCAGGUUGUAGUGUCUCUAGACCAGGUUGUAGUGUCUCUGUAGUGUCUCUCUAGACCAGGUUGUAGUGUCUCUGUAGUGUCUCUCUAGACCAGGUUGUAGUGUCUCUCUAGACCAGGUUGUAGUGUCUCUCUAGACCAGGUUGUAGUGUCUCUGUAGUGUCUCUCUAGACCAGGUUGUAGUGUCUCUAUAGACCAGGUUGUAGUGUCUCUAGACCAGGUUGUAGCGUCUCUAGACCAGGUUGUAGUCUCUAUAGACCAGGUUGUAGUGUCUCUAUAGACCAGGUUGUAGUGUCUCUAGACCAGGUUGUAGCGUCUCUAGACCAGGUUGUAGUCUCUAUAGACCAGGUUGUAGUGUCUCUGUAGUGUCUCUAUAGACCAGGUUGUAGUGUCUCUAGACCAGGUUGUAGCGUCUCUAGACCAGGUUGUAGUGUCUCUCUAGACCAGGUUGUAGUGUCUCUGUAGUGUCUCUCUAGACCAGGUUGUAGUGUCUCUGUAGUGUCUCUCUAGACCAGGUUGUAAAGUAACGGGUAUUUAUCUCCAGGAUAACUGAAAAAAUGAACAACACUACGACCAGGUUAGAUUAACAACACUACGACCAGGUUAGAUUACAACACUACGACCAGGUUAGAUUAACAACACUACGACCAGGUUAGAUUAACAACACUACGACCAGGUUAGAUUAACAACACUACGACCAGGUUAUAUUAACAACACUACGGCCAGGUUAUAUUAACAACACUACGACCAGGUCAGAUUAACGACCAAGUUAUAUUAACAACACUACGACCAGGUUAUAUUGACAACACUACGGCCAGGUUAUAUUAACAACACUACGACCAGGUCAGAUUAACGACCAGGUUAGAUUAACAACACUACGACCAGGUUAGAUUAACAACACUACGACCAGGUUAUAUUGACAACACCACGGCCAGGUUAGAUUAACAACACUACAACCAGGUUAGAUUAACAACACUACGACCAGGUUAGAUUAACAACACUACGACCAGGUUAGAUUAAAAACACUAUGACCAGGUUAUAUUGACAACACCACGGCCAGGUUAUAUUAACAACACUACGACCAGGUCAGAUUAACGACCAGGUUAGAUUAACAACACCACGGCCAGAUUAUAUUGACAACACUACGACCAGGUUAGAUUAACAACACUACGACCAGGUCAGAUUAACGACCAGGUUAGAUUAACAACACUACGACCAGGUUAUAUUAACAACACUACGACCAGGUUAGAUUAACAACACUAUGACCAGGUUAGAUUAACAACACCACGGCCAGGUUAUAUUGACAACACCACGGCCAGGUUAGAUUAACAACACUACGACCAGGUUAUAUUGACAACACCACAGCCAGGCUAGAUUAACAACACUACAACCAGGUUAGAUUAGCAACACUACGACCAGGUUAGAUUAACAACACUACGACCAGGUUAUAUUAACAACACUACGACCAGGUUAGAUUAACAACACUACGACCAGGUUAUAUUGACAACACCACGGCCAGGUUAGAUUAACAACACUACGACCAGGCACACACAGUCUCAAAUGGAACCCUUUUCCACAGCUCCCUAUGUGGGACCUGGCCAAAAGUAGUGCACUACGUAGGGGAUAGAGUACCAUUUGGGUCAGACACAAAAUAAUCUGCCUCUGUGCCAAACCCAUCCACAGAACCAGUGAACCAUCUUGACUGUAUCUCCUGUAGCUCAGGACAGGAGCUUCAUGUUGGGCCCUCCUGGGUCUGAUCCACACAUCAGAGCUAUGUUCAGGAUCCCCAGUGUUAUGGAACAUUAC
Oncorhynchus tshawytscha (Chinook salmon) is the source of this 4513-nucleotide long non-coding RNA. The record is from Ensembl. Lineage: Eukaryota; Metazoa; Chordata; Actinopteri; Salmoniformes; Salmonidae.